Molecule: ribosomal RNA, 439 nt
Filed under: uncultured bacterium
Lineage: Bacteria
Description: bacterial SSU rRNA
Rfam family: Bacterial small subunit ribosomal RNA
Source: RNAcentral
UACGGGAGGCAGCAGUGGGGAAUAUUGCACAAUGGGCGCAAGCCUGAUGCAGCCAUGCCGCGUGUAUGAAAAAGGCCUUCGGGUUGUAAAGUACUUUCAGUCGUGAGGAAGGUGUUAAGGUUAAUAACCUUAGCAAUUGACGUUAGCGACAGAAGAAGCACCGGCUAACUCCGUGCCAGCAGCCGCGGUAAUACGGAGGGUGCGAGCGUUAAUCGGAAUUACUGGGCGUAAAGGGCACGCAGGCGGUUAAUUAAGUUGGAUGUGAAAUCCCCGGGCUUAACCUGGGAAUGGCAUUCAAGACUGGUUAGCUAGAGUCUUGUAGAGGGGGUAGAAUUCCAUGUGUAGCGGUGAAAUGCGUAGAGAUGUGGAGGAAUACCGGUGGCGAAGGCGGCCCCUGGACAAAGCUGACGCUCAUCGUGCGAAAGCGUGGGGAGCAAAC